Molecule: long non-coding RNA, 1074 nt
Filed under: Chloebia gouldiae (Gouldian finch)
Lineage: Eukaryota; Metazoa; Chordata; Aves; Passeriformes; Passeridae
Description: Erythrura gouldiae (Gouldian finch) lncRNA (ENSEGOG00005004299.1)
Source: RNAcentral
AUGAAGACUACAAAGAAGUGCAAACUGUCAGACUGGAUGAAAGCCGAAAUGAAUAAUUCAUUUUUGGAUGCAUUAGGCUGUAGCACACAGGCAACUGAAGAGGAAGAUGAUUACUUAGUUUAUGAUGGAGAUAUUGGAAUAAGCUGUAAAUAUAACAAUAAUUCAGGUAAUUUAAAUGCCUGUAGUUGUACAAAAGAUAUUUCUGGUAUUUUAAACUUAGCCUGUUCUGAAGAGAACAAAAACAUAAAAGCAGCAGCCAAUUAUGAAACUCCUCUACUGCCUGAAGAAUUCUCCAGUCAUCACAGAGGCACCAGAGGAACAACUGGAGUUCCAACUGAAAUGCCUGGAAAUGAAGCUUCCUUUCAGAAGGAAUUACCUGCUGGUAGUUCCAGUAAACCAGAUAGCAAAGAACAUGUAACUACCUCCAAGAUGUCCAAGGUCCUCCUGCGUCAUUUUCCUAGGGAGGAAUUACUAAGCACAUGCCACUUAAUUGAAUGUGAGACAAUACCAGAGGUGUCCUUUACUGAAAGUAUCGAUGACACUGGGAGCAAACCGGAGCCUUCAGAACACAGCAAAGGCUCUUCAGUGUAUGAACAAUGGGCAGCGAGCUCUGAGGAGCAUCCCUUAGAAAAGCACAAAGAAGUAAAGGGUUCUGACAAAAAUAGAUCUGUUUCAAAGAAACCUAUUUUUUCUUCUAGUCAGUGUGGGUGCAGACAAGAACACUCACAACUGAUUAAUGAGACUGAAGAUACACACACCUUUCAAAAUAUGAAAGAUGAGAGAACCCUGUUUAAGAGAACAGUUUCACCUUGUCACCUCAAAUUUGACCAAGGGCAAGCUCACUAUUGCCUUCCUGACUUCUCUGAAGUUGCUUCAGAAGUUCAAGUACCAAAAAAACCUGACAAUAUUACCUCAGUUCCUUCAACUGAGAGAGCAAAACCCUUUCCUGUUUUGCAAAGUAAAUCAGUAACUGUGAACAAUAUUUUGGAAAGUAAGAAUUACUUCAAUUCUGCUGAAGAAGAGAAUCAAGAAGAAAGGAGUAUUUCAGAACUGCUCCAACAGCUACAGGUAAUU